AUGGGGUUGGGCCUAAUAACUAUUAGGUAAGAGAUCCAAUGACAGCCUUGCACCUGCUUGUGAACGGUGGGUCGGGCUUAACUAAGGAGGGUGGUCAAGAAUUGUUAGAUGAGCCCACAUGACUUAGAGACCAAGUUACUGCAACAUGCUUAGAGAAGUAUUUGGACAAAGAGUUGGCUAUGUAUCGGUAUACAUGUUAUCAAAAAUUGUUAGAUGAGG
RNAcentral lists this long non-coding RNA (219 nucleotides) under Elaeis guineensis (African oil palm). Its description in RNAcentral is "long non-coding RNA (EGUI_LNC063286)". Lineage: Eukaryota; Viridiplantae; Streptophyta; Magnoliopsida; Arecales; Arecaceae. The record is from RNAcentral.